RNAcentral lists this transfer RNA (42 nucleotides) under Debaryomyces hansenii. RNAcentral describes it as "partial tRNA". The record is from RNAcentral. Lineage: Eukaryota; Fungi; Ascomycota; Pichiomycetes; Serinales; Debaryomycetaceae.
AUGCAAACUAGGGGUUCCAAAGUAACAACAGUGGCAUUGUGG